AAUUUUUGACAAUGGGGGAAACCCUGAUCCAGCAAUGCCGCGUGCAGGAUGAAGGCCUUCGUGUUNUAAACUGCUUUUGUACGUAANGAAAAGUCUUGGGCUAAUACCCUGGGAUCAUGACGGUACCGUAAGAAUAAGCACCGGCCAACUACUUGCCAGCAGCCGCGGUAAUACGUAGGGUGCAAGCGUUAAUCGGAAUUACUGGGCGUAAAGCGUGCGCAGGCGGUUUUGUAAGACAGUGGUGAAAUCCCCGGGCUCAACCAGGGAACUGCCAUUGUGACUGCAAGGCUGGAGUGCGGCAGAGGGGGAUGGAAUUCCGCGUGUAGCAGUGAAAUGCGUAGAUAUGCGGAGGAACACCGAUGGCGAAGGCAAUCCCCUGGGCCUGCACUGACGCUCAUGCACGAAAGCGUGGGGAGCAAACAGG
RNAcentral lists this ribosomal RNA (424 nucleotides) under uncultured bacterium. RNAcentral describes it as "partial 16S ribosomal RNA". It matches the Rfam family "Bacterial small subunit ribosomal RNA", at positions 360 to 776 of the family's 1533-position model. The record is from RNAcentral.